AGCCAUGUUUUAGUCUCUGUCCUUUGGUGCGAGAUAAGGAUACGUACGGAGAGGUUGUUCAAGAUUAAAGCCAAAGCAGAGUUCCAAUCCUGUGUGAGUCUGUGUGAUGCAUUGCUUGUGUAAAACACAAGGACCCUCGUUCGGGUUUUUAUUUAUUUUCACUGCUAGCUGAAAGAAAAUUGCACCAUGUGCACCGGCUUCGCGGUCCGAGCACGUGGGCUGGCAAGGACACAAAAAAUGGAGGCUGACCAAAUGGGGGUUAGUUGAUAAUCGGUUCAUACAAUACGGCUGAUUUUGAAGAACAAAGCAACGAUCAUGAGCAUCAAGAUGGAUGCCGAAUGGCUGCUGGUUAAGUCAGUAGUUAUUAGGUGAUGGCACCCGUUCGGUGAUGUAGCCAUAGACGGAAUGUCUUGCUUCAGAUCAUCUGCUGUUGUCCGUGGGGAUGUUUGGGAAGUGAACUCUGAAUGAAAGCUAAAGCUUCACUGAUCGUCAUUCUGGUUAUAUACAAACUAGAGGGCUGUUUCACAAAUCCAGGAUAGCGGAUUAAGCUGGGAUUUUCUGGAUAUCCUGUCUUAAUUAAACCUCAAUUCAGUGUUACAAAAGAAAUAACACACAAGUUACCAUGGUGAUUUAUUUUGUGAAGCUAGCCUGCUCCAGACCAGGCUAGUAGCUAGGCUUAGUUAAGCCUGGAACCGUAUCUGUUCAGUCAGCAGUCGCAGCAAUCGGAAACCAAGGAGUUUUGUCCAUGAUUCCAU
Molecule: long non-coding RNA, 755 nt
Organism: Xiphophorus couchianus (Monterrey platyfish)
Lineage: Eukaryota; Metazoa; Chordata; Actinopteri; Cyprinodontiformes; Poeciliidae
Exons: 5
Source: RefSeq, a predicted model, not a curated record